GGACGGGUGAGUAACACGUGAGUAACCUGCCCUUGACUUUGGGAUAACUUCGGGAAACCGGAGCUAAUACCGGAUAACAUUUGGAACCGCAUGGUUCUAAAGUGAAAGAUGGUUUUGCUAUCACUUAUAGAUGGACCCGCGCCGUAUUAGCUAGUUGGUAAGGUAACGGCUUACCAAGGCGACGAUGCGUAGCCGACCUGAGAGGGUGAACGGCCACACUGGGACUGAGACACGGCCCAGACUCCUACGGGAGGCAGCA
This 259-nucleotide ribosomal RNA is filed under the name uncultured bacterium. RNAcentral's name for it is "partial 16S ribosomal RNA". It matches the Rfam family "Bacterial small subunit ribosomal RNA", at positions 100 to 353 of the family's 1533-position model. The record is from RNAcentral.